GAUGAACGCUGGCGGCGUGCCUAAUACGUGCAAGUCGAGCGAACGGACGAGAAGCUUGCUUCUCUGAUGUUAGCGGCGGACGGGUGAGUAACACGUGGAUAACCUACCUAUAAGACUGGGAUAACUUCGGGAAACCGGAGCUAAUACCGGAUGAUAUUUUGAACCGCAUGGUUCAAAAGUGAAAGACGGUCUUGCUGUCACUUAUAGAUGGAUCCGCGCUGCAUUAGCUAGUUGGUAAGGUAACGGCUUACCAAGGCAACGAUGCAUAGCCGACCUGAGGGGGUGAUCGGCCACACUGGAACUGAGACACGGUCCAGACUCCUACGGGAGGCAGCAGUAGGGAAUCUUCCGCAAUGGGCGAAAGCCUGACGGAGCAACGCCGCGUGAGUGAUGAAGGUCUUCGGAUCGUAAAACUCUGUUAUUAGGGAAGAACAUAUGUGUAAGUAACUGUGCACAUCUUGACGGUACCUAAUCAGAAAGCCACGGCUAACUACGUG
RNAcentral lists this ribosomal RNA (497 nucleotides) under uncultured bacterium. RNAcentral's name for it is "partial 16S ribosomal RNA". It matches the Rfam family "Bacterial small subunit ribosomal RNA", at positions 28 to 507 of the family's 1533-position model. The record is from RNAcentral.